RNAcentral lists this ribosomal RNA (1170 nucleotides) under Alternaria burnsii. RNAcentral's name for it is "eukaryotic LSU rRNA". The stretch from base 521 to 1170 matches the Rfam family "Eukaryotic large subunit ribosomal RNA", at positions 1 to 666 of the family's 3401-position model. Lineage: Eukaryota; Fungi; Ascomycota; Dothideomycetes; Pleosporales; Pleosporaceae. The record is from RNAcentral.
UCGGACGUGAAUCGCGUGGGACUGCGGAGGGACAUUACACAAAUAUGAAGGCGGGCUGGAACCUCUCGGGGUUACAGCCUUGCUGAAUUAUUCACCCUUGUCUUUUGCGUACUUCUUGUUUCCUUGGUGGGUUCGCCCACCACUAGGACAAACAUAAACCUUUUGUAAUUGCAAUCAGCGUCAGUAACAAAUUAAUAAUUACAACUUUCAACAACGGAUCUCUUGGUUCUGGCAUCGAUGAAGAACGCAGCGAAAUGCGAUAAGUAGUGUGAAUUGCAGAAUUCAGUGAAUCAUCGAAUCUUUGAACGCACAUUGCGCCCUUUGGUAUUCCAAAGGGCAUGCCUGUUCGAGCGUCAUUUGUACCCUCAAGCUUUGCUUGGUGUUGGGCGUCUUGUCUCUAGCUUUGCUGGAGACUCGCCUUAAAGUAAUUGGCAGCCGGCCUACUGGUUUCGGAGCGCAGCACAAGUCGCACUCUCUAUCAGCAAAGGUCUAGCAUCCAUUAAGCCUUUUUUUCAACUUUUGACCUCGGAUCAGGUAGGGAUACCCGCUGAACUUAAGCAUAUCAAUAAGCGGAGGAAAAGAAACCAACAGGGAUUGCCCUAGUAACGGCGAGUGAAGCGGCAACAGCUCAAAUUUGAAAUCUGGCUCUUUUAGAGUCCGAGUUGUAAUUUGCAGAGGGCGCUUUGGCUUUGGCAGCGGUCCAAGUUCCUUGGAACAGGACGUCACAGAGGGUGAGAAUCCCGUACGUGGUCGCUGGCUAUUGCCGUGUAAAGCCCCUUCGACGAGUCGAGUUGUUUGGGAAUGCAGCUCUAAAUGGGAGGUACAUUUCUUCUAAAGCUAAAUAUUGGCCAGAGACCGAUAGCGCACAAGUAGAGUGAUCGAAAGAUGAAAAGCACUUUGGAAAGAGAGUCAAACAGCACGUGAAAUUGUUGAAAGGGAAGCGCUUGCAGCCAGACUUGCUUACAGUUGCUCAUCCGGGUUUCUACCCGGUGCACUCUUCUGUAGGCAGGCCAGCAUCAGUUUGGGCGGUAGGAUAAAGGUCUCUGUCACGUACCUCCUUUCGGGGAGGCCUUAUAGGGGAGACGACAUACUACCAGCCUGGACUGAGGUCCGCGCAUCUGCUAGGAUGCUGGCGUAAUGGCUGUAAGCGGCCCGUCUUGAAACACGGAC